This is a long non-coding RNA of Sinocyclocheilus anshuiensis, 2237 nucleotides long. RefSeq lists it as uncharacterized. The record is from RefSeq and is a predicted model, not a curated record. The transcript is spliced from 3 exons. Lineage: Eukaryota; Metazoa; Chordata; Actinopteri; Cypriniformes; Cyprinidae.
UUUAAGUGCAAAUUAACAGGUAGCAAAAAAUCUUUUGUAGGUUUUAAUUACAGGGGCUCUUGCCGUGUCCACUGACAAAUCACUUUCUCUGAUUUGUCAGUGGACAAUGAACAUUGAGAAUAAAUAUUAAUAUACGCAUUCUAAGAUAAUAUUCUAUUAUUUGUUUGUCACUGGUGAGGCCAGAAAUUGUACUGUAGUGAAGUUUCUUCAAUUACAGAAACAAUUAUACAAAAAAAAUGGUCACAUACUUGAUAUCUCGACUUUCAGCUGUUAACUAUACAUUAUGUUGCAUAGAAUAGUACACUGAUGUUUCAAUAUAAAAAGUGUAUUUACACAUACAAGUUCCCAUUCGAAUGGUCUCUCCCGUUGCGUCGCUGACGAUUAUGGGGAAACUCCUGUUUACUCUGAUACUGAAGACUGAUUUGAUCACAUUUGUGUAGCUGCACGAACCAAUGACGCUUCAACCUGCCAAAAGGGGUGGAGCCGACUGCUGUAUAAGUCAGAGCACCAUUUUGUCCAAUUUUUCUCCUUCAGCAAGGAAGAUCAUCUCCUCGCCGGAAUCUGAAGCAAGAAGCCAAAGCAAGAAGCUCAGCCCCUACAUGAUGCAGAUGGGCAUGCAUAGACUGCGCUCACCAGAACGGAAUGCUCUCACUGAGAGAAUGAGUCUCACCCUUCUCCACUCACGGAUCACCUUCUUCAAUGAAGGCAGCCUUGAUCUCCCAUUUCACCUCUCUCAGCUAGCUCUGAGAAAGAAACAGUGGAGUCACGGGGAUAAGCAACCGGGCUUGAGUGAUCUCACACCAGCACAGGUCCUGCGUGCUCACUCUCCCCGCAGCAUCUUGAUCCACCAGUGUGUUUUACAUGUGAGGAUCAGCGCCCUUCAUCUGCAUCGAGCGGUUUGAUCUUUUUAGGCGGAUCAGAGGAGAAUGCUGUCACCUAUGAUUCUGUAUCGCUGACAGCUUCACCAGGCUGUGGAGAAUCUCGGCUUAGAAUGGUCGGCUGCGGAAGAGCCUGCCCGUAGCCGUUUAGAUAAAUGAUACCCGCUGGGUUGUCGUCAACAAACCUCCUGCUAGAGUUCACGAUGAACUUAUCAAGACGUGGCACGCCCCUACUCGGCACGUGUCAACUUUUAUAUUUCUGCCGCCCUCACCUCUCUUGACGGCAUUGAAGUAAGAGGAUAUGGCAAGCUCCCCCACACGUCUACCUGCCAUCUGCCCGGCGUAUUUGCAAAGCGCUUCACUGCAGCUCAAAAGUCAUUGCAGGUCAUGCACCACUUCUUGCCUAAGCCCCGUAGAAUGAGGUUACUCACUCCAGUUUGCUCACAGGCCACUUCGCCAUGGAAACGGUUCCUCUAGUGAACAGCGAGGUUUUUACAGCUGCUACUUCCUCAUUCCCAAGAAAAAUGGCAGGCUCAGGCAUCUGAACUGUGCGAUUAUGAAUCGCCCAUUCAAAAUGCUGACUUGGAAGCAGAUCCUCACACAAAUGCCGCAGGGACUGGUUUUUUAUCGGUGGAUCUGAAAGACGCUUACUUUCACAUCCAGAUAGCCCCUCAUCACAGACCGCUCUUGAGAUUCGCGUUCGAGGGGGUGGAUUAUCAAUUUACAAUCUUAUCAUUCGGACUGUCUCUGGUCCUAUGCACUUUACAAAGUGCACGUAUGCUGCUCUUUCUCCUCUGAGACUGAUUGGAAUCUGCAUUGUGAAUAACCUAGACGAUUGGCUGGUCUUAGCCAGAUCGAAACAGGAACUCAUUGCUCACAGGUCGCUACUGCUCAGCCACCUGGAGUGGCUUGGGCUACUAAUUAAUUUAGCCAAGAGCUUUCUGUCUCCCAACCAGCAAGAAGUCUUCCUUGGGACAGUUAUUGAUUCUGCCCAGAUGCGGGCAUGGAUUACGCUGGAAUGCUCCCUGAUAAUUCAGUGGCUUGUGGCGUCAUUCAGACUUGGGACUUCACAUCCCCUCAGGGCUUUCAGAGGAUGCUUGGCCUCAUGUCAGCCCCUUCCUCUGUGAUUCCUCUGGGCCUGCUUCACAUGCGGCCCCCUUCAGUAUUGAUUCAAAGCCCAUGUUCCAUCCUACGCUUGGUGCUGCGAUGUUUUCAUCUCAGGAUAACCCAUCGCUGCAUCAGAGCUGUGGCCCCUUGGAAAACACCUCACCUGUUUCAAUCAGGCAUCCUGUUGCGACUGACCUCCAGAAGGAAGCAUCAGAAUCAGAAAGAGCUUUAUUGCCAAGUGUGCUUACAUAC